AACUAAGAUACGAGGCGGGCUGCUAACUUGCUUUAAGUUUUUAAUAGAACUAUUAGUUU
Molecule: transfer RNA, 59 nt
Filed under: Asiomorpha coarctata
Lineage: Eukaryota; Metazoa; Arthropoda; Diplopoda; Polydesmida; Paradoxosomatidae
Description: tRNA-Ser
Source: RNAcentral